Non-coding RNA from Caenorhabditis elegans, 21 nucleotides. The record is from Ensembl. Lineage: Eukaryota; Metazoa; Nematoda; Chromadorea; Rhabditida; Rhabditidae.
UUUAAGGAUUGAAGGUAUUUU